GCUAGUAAUGGCAGGUCAGCAUACUGCCGUGAAUACGUUCCCGGGCCUUGUACACACCGCCCGUCACACCAUGAGAGUUGGGAAUACCCGAAGCCUGUGAGCUUAACUUUAGGGAGGCAGCAGUCGAAGGUAGAAUCAAUGAGUUGGGGUGAAGUCGUAACAAGGUAAC
RNAcentral lists this ribosomal RNA (169 nucleotides) under uncultured bacterium. RNAcentral's name for it is "partial 16S ribosomal RNA". It matches the Rfam family "Bacterial small subunit ribosomal RNA", at positions 1334 to 1500 of the family's 1533-position model. The record is from RNAcentral.